Non-coding RNA from Caenorhabditis elegans, 480 nucleotides. NCBI's taxonomy places the organism in Eukaryota, Metazoa, Nematoda, Chromadorea, Rhabditida, Rhabditidae. The record is from Ensembl.
AUGCAACACCGUUUCGUUGUGUUUAUGCGUGGUGUAAUCGCCCGUUCAAAACUCUCCCAUCGUGAAGAUUUCGACGAUGUGAUGCUCCAACUGCAAACUUUUCUCCAAGUCCAUCGUCGUGAAAUUGUGCCAACCGACGAACACUUCUUUGCGGAGUGGAAACAAGCUAUUUCUGAAUACUUUUAAAAUGGUCAAGUUUAUGAGGAUGGGACCCAAAAUCUGUGAAUUUCAAAUGUUUUAAAAGCAGUUCAACGCAGGAAACUGUUACUUUUUCGUUAACCAAGUGUUCCAACACAUUGAACUUUGGCCUAACACCAAUCCGAACCGGGAGCACAUGAUCAAUUUGGCCCGUGCUUACCUCGAUGGACAAAUUGUGGAACUUCAACAAGAAGUUCACGCCGAGCUUGCCACCGACGAAGCUCGCUGCGCAUACCUCGACGGUGCGGCGAAGAACGCGUUCGGGCCGCCUCGCCCCUAAGU